UGUGAAAUUCACUGCAUUAAGUCGCUCUGGAUAAGAGCGUCUGCUAAAUGACUUAAC
This is a non-coding RNA of Salmo salar (Atlantic salmon), 57 nucleotides long. The record is from Rfam. Lineage: Eukaryota; Metazoa; Chordata; Actinopteri; Salmoniformes; Salmonidae.